UCCUGUUAAAAGGGAGUUUUUUCUUCCCACUGUCGCCAAAGUGCUUGCUCAUAGGGGGUCACAUAAUUGUUGCGUUUUCUCUGUUGUAUUAUGUUAGGGUCAAUGUUACAGUAACACGUUGUUAUCACUGUCACCUCACAGCAACAAGGGCUCCAAGUCAAAGUAUAGUGCUGCUGAGUUUGACUCCACCAUCUGGCUGGGCCUUACUGUGUGGAGUUGGCAUGUUCUCUCUGUGUUUGCAUGGGUUAGGGUACUCUGUCUUCCUCCCACGGUCCAAAGACAUGCAGUUAGUGGAUAGGUUAAUUGGUGAGUAUAUAUUACCCAUAGGUGUGAAUGUUGGUGUGUCUCUACGUGUUAGCCCUGUGAUAGACUGUCCAGGGUGUACCUCCCCUCUCGCCCAGUUACUCACCAAGGAUGUAUUCAGAAUAUAUGACAUCCGUUCUGACAUUGUCUCCAAUGUUCAUUUCAUGCAUCUGGAAGGAAAUAUGUUCAGCACAGGUUAAUCUAUCAUCUGGCUUCCAUUCACAGACAAAUGGUCAGAGCGAGCAUGCCAAUCAGCUCCUCGCUGAGUCACCUCAUCCAACUAAUCUACAUGGAGUUCACAGCUGGUAUGGCCAACCUUCGCCUCUGUCACUGUUUGUGGAGGUCCAUCUGGUUAGUCCUCAAAGAUACAAAACAAAUGCCUGGCUGAUCGACACCAAGCCCUCCUCCAUCCUACCAGUCAGGUCGGAAGGUUUGGUUGGCUGCAAAAAAUAUCCUGCUUCACACAGAGUCUAAGAAAUUUGCACCCAAUUACACUGGACCAUUUAAAACUACCACACAACAUGAAGGUACACAAUACAGUUAGUGAUGUAUCCACAGGGAUUGGAAAGUUGGUGGUUUGAUCCCCGUCUGCUCCAGUCUGCAUGCCAAAUAUUAUUGGACAAGAUACUAACCCUAGAAAGUGCUUAAAUGGGUGUGAUUGGGUGAAUGAACAAGUUGUAUAUAGCGCUUUGAGUGCUCAGAUAGAGUCCUCAAAGCGCUAUAUAAGAACCAGUCCACAAUGUGUCUUCCAGAUAAAACCAGUCCAGUCUGGCUUUAUGUGCCCUUCUUCCAGGGCACCUUCCCACCUGGGCCUUUGUUUAUGAACCCCAGACAGCAUGGGAGGGGCUUCCAAAUUUGGUUAUGCGGGAGGAAUGGUCCUGUCUUUCACCUCAAACACCCUGAUCAGGUUUCCCUGGAGGAUCCCCUGUGAACAGUCUUUGUUUGGAUUUGAGAGAGAGUCUGGAAAAUAUGUUAAGCCAUAGUGGAGUCUGGGGCCACCGCAACUGUUCUGAUCAUUUUGAAACUGUUAAUAUUCACUGUAAAUAAAUGCACUAUGCUUUGAUUUGGAGCCGUGUGGUGGUAGUUGUCCACCACAACCACUGGAGGGGAAAGAGAAGACAGCAGUGAGCAACACAGGACAAAAAGCAAACUAUAAAAUCAUCUCCAACACCCUGGAGGAUAUCAGGGAGGAUUUAGACACUCUCCAAGAUUACAUCAACACAGUGCUUCGAACAGAACCAAAACAGAGUCCCCAAAAAUCUCAAAACAAAACGUCCAUAACUCACACACUGGAGCUCAAGAAACAGUUCAAAACACAAGUCAGGUGGCCAACCCGGGGACCGACACCACAGAAGUCCAGGGUGAAAUAGUUUAGGGGACCGGCGGCGUGGAAGGCAGCGGCGGCGACACUGUUCAGGAGGGCGUGGACCCGACGGCAGGGUGGCGGCCGCAGAACAAGAUGAGGCAGAGGCUGAAGGCGAAGCAGAGGCUGCAGGCGAGGAUGAUGCUGCAGGCGAUAGCAUGGAAAGUAUAGGUUGUGGCGCUGCAGGCAACGGUGGUGGCUGGACGGGCUCCUCGGACGCUCCAGUGGAAGCUGCAGGCGACGGUGAUCCCCAGCAAAGACAGAAGGCUGAAGCAGCCCGUCGGACGCCCCAGCGGAGGCAGGAGGCUAGAGCAGUUCAAUUCUUUCUCUGACAAAGUUGUACUUUUGUAUUUUCUUACUCAGUUGUAUAUAGUAUUUGUAUUCUAUUUUAUUCUAUUGUAUAUAUUAUUC
Long non-coding RNA from Oreochromis niloticus (Nile tilapia), 2077 nucleotides. RefSeq lists it as uncharacterized. The transcript has 3 exons. The record is from RefSeq and is a predicted model, not a curated record. Lineage: Eukaryota; Metazoa; Chordata; Actinopteri; Cichliformes; Cichlidae.